RNAcentral lists this long non-coding RNA (5208 nucleotides) under Zea mays. Its description in RNAcentral is "long non-coding RNA (ZMAY_LNC000369)". Lineage: Eukaryota; Viridiplantae; Streptophyta; Magnoliopsida; Poales; Poaceae. The record is from RNAcentral.
CUGAACCACAUGCCAUACAGCAGCAACGCUGUUUGUUAAUUUUGUAUCUUUAAAAUUAAAACAGCGGUGAUAUCAAACAAAUACUCUAGGAGUAUCUACACAAAAUACUCUACAACUUCAGUAUUCAAUAGAUAAUUAAAUUCUGCCAUCUACAAGUUCUAAAACAUCUGACAAGAUAACUGACUGAAUCUGUUUUAGACAGCAGUAUGGUUAACUUUAAAAUUCGAUAUCUCCAAAACUGCUGAACCAAAAAUUAUGAACUUCUGCUGGAAGUAAGAACUUUUAUCCCUCUACAAAAGUCUCCAUAGUUGGAAGAGCCAAUUCGGCCAUUUACUAGAUGAAACCCACCAGUGAACAGACCCACUCAUUUUUGUCAGGUAAACAGGAACAGCCACAGUAAAACAAACAUAACUGGAGUUUCACAAAUCAUAUGAAUGCACUCUUUAACAAUCUGGAAAGCUUAUAAAAUUAUCUACAACUUCUUUUACCAACCCACAGUUUAAUUCUGUUGAUAAAAUUGCCUAAAUCUUAAGAGAACAGAUUCUGCACAGAAUUAUGAGACUGAAAAACUGCUAUAGUAAAACUGCAAUAACUUUCUGGUCGGAUGUCCGAUUGAGGUGUUCUUCGCGGCCACGGAAAGAUCUACAAAUUAUCUACGACUCAUACCCAGACUUUUUAUUUUUUUGAGGCCACUAAGACCACGGAAAACUGGCAUGAACAGAAACUGUCGAAUCUGCCAUUCUGCAGAAAACUAAAUUCGAGAUCAAAACCUAACCCCACAUCAAAUCCAACCUCUAAUCCUUUAAUUCCCAUGAUCCACAACCUCCAAAAGCCUAUAAUUACAGGGAGGAACAAGGAUCUCAUCCAUACCUAGGGUUUCCCCAAGAAAUCUUCAAGAGGAGAUGGGGAAGAACAUCUCCUUGAUCCUCUCUUCCUCUUCAAUUCAACGUGCCCCUCCUUUUCUCGAUCCUUGCUGCGUAGGGGGAGAUCUUGGGGGAGGAAGCAAUGGAGGAUGGCUGCCAUAGGGGGAGGGGGCGUCCAGCCAAGGGGGAGAAAAAGGGGGUGGCGGCCAAGAGGGGGGGUGAAGGGAAAAAAAAGGGGUGGCCACCUAGGGUUUUUGUGGGAGAAAGAAACGACGCCUCAGAUGACUUCUAUCUUUGCAUCCAAUGGCCCACAACCCUUUACCUCAUCCACGCACCAGAGAUUAACUUUUGGUCAACAUUUUUUUGGGAUAUUACACUCUACCCCCCUUAAAAAGAAUUCGACCUCGAAUUCGGCCACUCCAAGCAAAACACCCAAGGUACCCCAUAUAGCACCACAAUUCAAAACAUGGGUCCAUUAUUGGUCUUAAUUAACACAAGAACUUCUACCUUGGACUAAUUGUCUAAGGAAACUACACGACCUGACAUCAAGCAUGAAACAACAUGUAAUGAAGCUCAAAGCAUGUCAUAGUUGCAAUCAACACUCCAAUUUCACACCAUCAAAUUUGGAUGCAGCUAUACAUCAACAUCAAUGUCUUAAGACAACACUCUUUUAUGAAGGGGUAAUAUGCACCAAGCACAACCCUUACCAACUUCAACCAUUAAUUUUAAUUAAAUGGUGAAACAUCUACACCCGACGAAUGUAUAAGAAGAUCAAACACCUCACCUUAAAGCACUAUGAAACAAGUAGUUCUAUUGGAACAAAACUCCUAAUCUUCCUAAACCUUAUUCUUGCCAUCAUGAAAAGAUAAUCAUGUAAUCUAACAUUCCUUGCACCCCACCAAAAGGGAGAAAAUCUAUAGAACUAAUGGAGCAAUAAAGCCAAAAGAAGCCAAUAACAUCUUGUGCGGCAUAGUUCAUCGAAGAAAUGCCAAAAACUCUACAUAGAGCACUGAUAGCCCAACAACAACACAAUACUUGCUUAACCCAUGUCACUAUACUUCAUUCAACAUCUCAACUAAGAAAAAUAUCCAACUAGUAAGGAUAACCUACACAUAAUAUAAGUCUUCAUCUACUGUAGUUCAGAAACUUACAUUUCAUUCUAUCAUACGAUGCACUCAAAGUACCAGACAUACAAAGUCAAUAAUAAUAACCCCUAAUCCUUCACACAUUUGACAAACAUAUUAAGCUGAUGUAAACACCACAUGAUCUAGGAAUAGGUGACUAGCCACACCCAACCAACUCUAGGCUAGGCAAGGACUUCCUUCAAACCAAUAGAUAGGUGGUCUAAAAAAAAUGGCUCCACAAGCAUGCAUCGAAAAGGGAACCAUCAGAUCCUCAAUGUAUCAAUACAUAAUCAAUGGAUCAAGAGAAUCAAAGAUUUAUUCUACAAUUAGUAUGACUAACAGGCAACCACUUUAAACCACAUCUAGGCUUUGUGGCAACUAAAACACACAAUAUGAGAGAGACAUGUAAGCCAUUCUGGCUAUGAAAAGACUUCCCCCAAAAAUCCAUAUAAAGUACCAAUAUUCAUUUCUUUCAAAACUGGUUUCUCAACAUAAACAAUCAUUCUUUGCAAUGAUAGUUGGAGCUAUCCACCAACCGCUCACAACUUAAAUUCAAAUUGAUGAUUACCUUGUACCCCAAAACACGCAAUUCACACUCCUCUUAGAAACAUCCACAAUCAAGCAUAUAUAACAAUAUUAUUGUAAUAAAACUCAACCAUGAAAAACAUGGUGAAAACAACAUAGGCAUACUUGUAUAUCACAAGCAUAAUAACAACUUCAUUCUCACCAAUGACCAGCGAUAUCUACCGCAUUAAUAAAACAAUAUCAAAAUUUCAGAAAUAAAUUAUAUCAAGCAUUAAGCCAUAAACAACUUACCACAUCACCGUAAAGGAAUAGGGAGGGGUGAAACUAUUGUCAUCUGCACUCCAAAGACAUUAAUAUAUAUCAAAGAUAUUUGAACCCAUACCCUUCCUAUAUGUGCAAGUGUGUCAAAUUUAUCUUCAAAUUGCCAAGAAUCUAAAGCCUAUGCUUUGAUACCAACUGUAACACCUCGGGAUCCACAAACACCCCAGAAUGCUACUAAACUACACAUCUAAUAUUCAUAUAUAAAAUUUCGACAGCAUCUCCUUUGAAAAUUGCAUAAAUGGGGGAAGCAACAAAGUAUAAAUAGAUAUCAUGAUAAGAAAACAUAUAAGACAUUAAUAAUCUGCUAGCAAUGGGAAGACAACCAUAACAACAUGAACUGAAUUAAUCAGUGCGCACGACUAGUUAAAAACAAACAUCCUUUGACAAGAAGUUUCUAAUUAAAUCAUGGCUGCGUCUGGGCAGCAUUAUUAUGAGAAUGAAGGUGGAUGUGCUGCUACUUCCCACUCCCCUUGAUGAGCAACAAGCACCUGCAUUGAGUAAUGCAAGAGUGAGAUGAAACAUCUCAGCAAGCUAAUUGUUCUGACGAGAUAUUUAAACCACAAAUUGAAUUCAUCAACAUUUUAAAAGAGUCACAAUUAAAAAUCAGAAAUGCUUGUAGAUAUAGAACUCAGUAGUCCCACUAUAACCAAUACCAUCUCAUUUCCUCGAACAACCACAAUAGGUUCUAUAACACUUCCCUGCGUCAACAAUACCUGCAAAUAUCACUUCAAUGUAUGCAUAGGAAUGCAAUGUGUAGGUACUCUAUCUUCAUACCUCUGGGGGUAUAAAACCACAUUAUCUGCAAAUAUCACUUCAAUGAAUGCAUAUGAAUGCAAUGCAUAUGUCCUCUGCCUUCAUACCUCUAAGGGUAUGAAGCCGCAUCGUACCCCUUCUCGGGCAACGUACGAUGCUAAGUUGUACCGGUACGGUCGGACCAUAGGUCACGACAAAACUUCAUAUGCAAAUGAGUCAUGCAAUGUAUAUGGCAUGCUACAUUUAUCAAUAAACUUCACUUCCUUCAGAUACAACACAAACCUCAAAUAAUACUUCAUUUACCUUCAGAUACAAUACCAACCUCAAAUAAUACUUCAUUUACCUUCAGGGGUGUGAAUUAAUCUCAUGAGUCAUACUCAAAUCAUAAUCAUCAUCAAUAUAUGAUUGAGCAUCAGUAUAAUGCAAGCAAGUAAAGCAUCACCAUAGAGUCCAAUUAUGAAAGAAUCUGAUACUUCUGAAUAUUAGAGUGUAGGCGAUAGAAAUAACAGGUCAGAACGGAAGCAACCACCGCUACAUUCACUUGCCUUCAUCGAAGAAGAAGAAAUGUACUAGACAUGAUCUGGAGUGUAGCCACCUGCUAGUGGGCAUAAAACUUAGUACAAAUAUUUCACAAACAUUUGCCAUCAAUCAACAAAACACUCCUACACUUGAAACCAAGACCCAGUGGAAAGACUCCCACCCUGAACCACAUGCCAUACAGCAGCAACGCUGUUUGUUAAUUUUGUAUCUUUAAAAUUAAAACAGCGGUGAUAUCAAACAAAUACUCUAGGAGUAUCUACACAAAAUACUCUACAACUUCAGUAUUCAAUAGAUAAUUAAAUUCUGCCAUCUACAAGUUCUAAAACAUCUGACAAGAUAACUGACUGAAUCUGUUUUAGACAGCAGUAUGGUUAACUUUAAAAUUCGAUAUCUCCAAAACUGCUGAACCAAAAAUUAUGAACUUCUGCUGGAAGUAAGAACUUUUAUCCCUCUACAAAAGUCUCCAUAGUUGGAAGAGCCAAUUCGGCCAUUUACUAGAUGAAACCCACCAGUGAACAGACCCACUCAUUUUUGUCAGGUAAACAGGAACAGCCACAGUAAAACAAACAUAACUGGAGUUUCACAAAUCAUAUGAAUGCACUCUUUAACAAUCUGGAAAGCUUAUAAAAUUAUCUACAACUUCUUUUACCAACCCACAGUUUAAUUCUGUUGAUAAAAUUGCCUAAAUCUUAAGAGAACAGAUUCUGCACAGAAUUAUGAGACUGAAAAACUGCUAUAGUAAAACUGCAAUAACUUUCUGGUCGGAUGUCCGAUUGAGGUGUUCUUCGCGGCCACGGAAAGAUCUACAAAUUAUCUACGACUCAUACAUAGACUUUUUAUUUUUUUGAGGCCACUAAGACCACGGAAAACUGGCAUGAACAGAAACUGUCGAAUCUGCCAUUCUGCAGAAAACUAAAUUCGAGAUCAAAACCUAACCCCACAUCAAAUCCAACCUCUAAUCCUUUAAUUCCCAUGAUCCACAACCUCCAAAAGCCUAUAAUUACAGGGAGGAACAAGGAUCUCAUCCAUACCUAGGGUUUCCCCAAGAAAUCUUCAAGAGGAGAUGGGGAAGAACAUCUCCU